CCUACGGGAGGCAGCAGUGAGGAAUAUUGGUCAAUGGACGAGAGUCUGAACCAGCCAAGUAGCGUGAAGGAUGACUGCCCUAUGGGUUGUAAACUUCUUUUAUAUGGGAAUAAAAUGUUCCACGUGUGGGAUUUUGUAUGUACCAUAUGAAUAAGGAUCGGCUAACUCCGUGCCAGCAGCCGCGGUAAUACGGAGGAUCCGAGCGUUAUCCGGAUUUAUUGGGUUUAAAGGGAGCGUAGGUGGAUUGUUAAGUCAGUUGUGAAAGUUUGCGGCUCAACCGUAAAAUUGCAGUUGAAACUGGCAGUCAUGAGUACAGUAGAGGUGGGCGGAAUUCGUGGUGUAGCGGUGAAAGGAUUAGAUAUCACGAAGAAUUCGGAUUGAGAAGGCAGUGCACUGGACUGCAACUGACACUGAGGCUCGAAAGUGUGGGGAGCAAACAGGAGGAGAUAACCCUGUAGUC
Molecule: ribosomal RNA, 460 nt
Filed under: uncultured bacterium
Lineage: Bacteria
Description: partial 16S ribosomal RNA
Rfam family: Bacterial small subunit ribosomal RNA
Source: RNAcentral